CGGUAAUUCCAGCUCCAAUAGCGUAUACUAAAGUUGUUGCAGUUAAAAAGCUCGUAGUUGGAUUUCUGCGGGGACGGAGCGGCCGGACGCAACUUGCGUCUCGAGCUAGCGCUUUCCCCGCAUCCUGCCGCGAACCGUGCUACCAUUAGCUUGGUGGCGCUGGGGAUCGGCUCGAUUACUUUGAGAAAAAUAGAGUGUUCAAAGCAGGCCACACGCCUUGAAUAAGUUAGCAUGGAAUAAUGACUAAGGACUUCGGUUCUAUUUUGUUGGUGUUCGGGACUGAAGUAAUGAUUGAUAGGGACAGUUGGGGCGGUCUGUAUUCCAAAGCGAGAGGUGAAAUUCUUAGACCUUCGGAAGACAAACAGCUGCGAAAGCGUUCCGCAAGGAUGUUCCCUUUGAUCAAGAACGAAAGUUGGGGGAUCGAAGACGAUCAGAUACCGUCGUAGUCUCAACUAUAAACUAUACCAGCUAGGGAUCGGUCAACGUUUAAUCAUUCGACUUGAUCGGCACCUUAUGAGAAAUCAAAGUAUCUGGGUUCCGGGGGGAGUAUGGUCGCAAGGCUGAAACUUAAAGGAAUUGACGGAAGGGCACCACCAGCCGUGGAGCCUGCGGCUUAAUUUGACUCAACACGGGAAAACUUACCAGGUCCAGACAUAGUAAGGAUUGGCAGAUUGAUAGCUCUUUCUUGAUUCUGUGGGUGGUGGUGCAUGGCCGUUCUUAGUUGGUGGAGUGAUUUGUCUGGUUAAUUCCGUUAACGAACGAGACCCCAGCCUGCUAAACAGCGCGGCUGAGCUUUGCUCGGUGCGAGCUUCUUAGAGGGACUAUGAUGCGCGAUAGCACAUGGAAGUUUGGGGCAAUAACAGGUCUGUGAUGCCCUUAGAUGUUCUGGGCCGCACACGGGCUACACUGGCGCCUGCAACGAGCAUAUCAGCUGGCCCGAGAGGGUCUUGGCUAAUCUUUUGAACCGGCGCCGUGCUUGGGAUUGACCAUCGCAAUUGUUGGUCAUGCAACGAGGAAUGCCUUGUAAACGCGAGUCAUCAGCUCGCAUUGAAUACGUCCCUGCCCUUUGUACACACCGCCCGUCGCUCCUACCGAUGAAUGUUCCGAUGAAAUUUUCGGAGAGCGCCAGAGAACGGGGCUCCGCCUUGCAGAUCUGGAGGCUCAAAGUCACUUAAAUCUGAACAUUUCGAGGAAGGAGAAGUCGUAACAAGGUAGCCG
This 1218-nucleotide ribosomal RNA is filed under the name uncultured Rhizaria. Its description in RNAcentral is "SSU rRNA". It matches the Rfam family "Eukaryotic small subunit ribosomal RNA", at positions 577 to 1805 of the family's 1831-position model. The record is from RNAcentral.